AAAAAGGCAAAUCCUGAGUUUCCGUGUCCAACUUUGACUAUCCGUCUUAUAUGAAAUUUUUUUUAUAAUUCGUAUUUUCAUUGUUGUUAGAUGAUAAAAUAUGAUUAAUAUUUUAUGCGUGACUUGUCUUUUAAAUUUUUUUCAUAAUUUUUUCAAAUAAGACGGACGGUCAAACGUUGGACAUGGAAACCAGAGUUUGUCUUUUUU
This 207-nucleotide microRNA precursor is filed under the name Oryza rufipogon (brownbeard rice). RNAcentral's name for it is "MIR812 microRNA precursor family". It matches the Rfam family "MIR812 microRNA precursor family". Lineage: Eukaryota; Viridiplantae; Streptophyta; Magnoliopsida; Poales; Poaceae. The record is from Rfam by way of RNAcentral.